RNAcentral lists this ribosomal RNA (205 nucleotides) under uncultured Eubacteriales bacterium. Its description in RNAcentral is "uncultured Clostridiales bacterium partial 16S ribosomal RNA". It matches the Rfam family "Bacterial small subunit ribosomal RNA", at positions 568 to 774 of the family's 1533-position model. The record is from RNAcentral. Lineage: Bacteria; Bacillati; Bacillota; Clostridia; Eubacteriales.
UGCGUAGGUGGUCUUGUAAGCGUGGGUGAAAGGCAGUGGCUUAACCAUUGUUAGCCUUGCGAACUGUGAGACUUGAGUGCAGGAGAGGAAAGUGGAAUUCCUAGUGUAGCGGUGAAAUGCGUAGAUAUUAGGAGGAACACCAGUGGCGAAGGCGACUUUCUGGACUGUAACUGACACUGAGGCACGAAAGCGUGGGGAGCAAACA